CGAAAUGCGAUAAGUAAUGUGAAUUGCAGAAUUCAGUGAAUCAUCGAAUCUUUGAACGCACCUUGCGCUCCUUGGUAUUCCUUGGAGCAUGCCUGUUUGAGUAUCAUGAAAUCUUCAAAGUAAAUCUUUUGUUAACUCAAUUGGUUUAUACUUUGGUAUUGGAGGUCUUUGCAGCUUCACACCUGCUCCUCUUUGUUCAUUAGCUGGAUCUCAGUGUUAUGCUUGGUUCCACUCGGCGUGAUAAGUUAUCUAUCGCUGAGGACACUGUAAAAGGUGGCCAAGGUAAAUGCAGAUGAACCGCUUCUAAUAGUCCAUUGACUUGGACAAUACUUUUAUGAUCUGAUCUCAAAUCAGGUAGGACUACCCGCUGAACUUAAGC
This 379-nucleotide unclassified non-coding RNA is filed under the name plant metagenome. Its description in RNAcentral is "partial contains 5.8S ribosomal RNA, internal transcribed spacer 2, and large subunit ribosomal RNA". The stretch from base 1 to 106 matches the Rfam family "5.8S ribosomal RNA", at positions 49 to 154 of the family's 154-position model. The record is from RNAcentral.